CCUACGGGAGACAGCAGUGAGGAAUAUUGGUCAAUGGGCGCGAGCCUGAACCAGCCAAGUCGCGUGAGGGAAGACGGUCCUAUGGAUUGUAAACCUCUUUUGUCGGGGAGCAAAAGACGCCACGCGUGGCGUUCCGAGAGUACCCGAAGAAAAAGCAUCGGCUAACUCCGUGCCAGCAGCCGCGGUAAUACGGAGGAUGCGAGCGUUAUCCGGAUUUAUUGGGUUUAAAGGGUGCGCAGGCGGAAGAUGAAGUCAGCGGUAAAAUUGAGAGGCUCAACCUCUUCGAGCCGUUGAAACUGGUUGUCUUGAGUGAGCGAGAGGUAUGCGGAAUGCGUGGUGUAGCGGUGAAAUGCAUAGAUAUCACGCAGAACUCCGAUUGCGAAGGCAGCAUACCGGCGCUCAACUGACGCUCAUGCACGAAAGUGUGGGUAUCGAACAGGAUUAGAUACCCUGGUAGUC
RNAcentral lists this ribosomal RNA (459 nucleotides) under uncultured bacterium. RNAcentral's name for it is "partial 16S ribosomal RNA". It matches the Rfam family "Bacterial small subunit ribosomal RNA", at positions 338 to 795 of the family's 1533-position model. The record is from RNAcentral.